RNAcentral lists this ribosomal RNA (465 nucleotides) under uncultured Klebsiella sp. RNAcentral describes it as "bacterial SSU rRNA". It matches the Rfam family "Bacterial small subunit ribosomal RNA", at positions 338 to 795 of the family's 1533-position model. Lineage: Bacteria; Pseudomonadati; Pseudomonadota; Gammaproteobacteria; Enterobacterales; Enterobacteriaceae. The record is from RNAcentral.
CCUACGGGGGGCUGCAGUGGGGAAUAUUGCACAAUGGGCGCAAGCCUGAUGCAGCCAUGCCGCGUGUGUGAAGAAGGCCUUCGGGUUGUAAAGCACUUUCAGCGGGGAGGAAGGCGGUGAGGUUAAUAACCCCAUCGAUUGACGUUACCCGCAGAAGAAGCACCGGCUAACUCCGUGCCAGCAGCCGCGGUAAUACGGAGGGUGCAAGCGUUAAUCGGAAUUACUGGGCGUAAAGCGCACGCAGGCGGUCUGUCAAGUCGGAUGUGAAAUCCCCGGGCUCAACCUGGGAACUGCAUUCGAAACUGGCAGGCUAGAGUCUUGCAGAGGGGGGUAGAAUUCCAGGUGUAGCGGUGAAAUGCGUAGAGAUCUGGAGGAAUACCGGUGGCGAAGGCGGCCCCCUGGACAAAGACUGACGCUCAGGUGCGAAAGCGUGGGGAGCAAACAGGAUUAGAUACCCCGGUAGUC